UUUUUUCGAUCAAACGGAUCUACUAUAUGUCGCGGGUGACAUCGCGCCUGACGUCAAUCGCGCGUCAUUCGAUGGCGACUGCCGGACGGAGGGAGCGUCCUAAUAACGUACGGCUCGCGUUAUUUCAACGCGUUACGAAAUAACGUGAAAUCGCGUCGAGAGAAUUUGUUUUUUAUUGUGCGCUCCUUCUCCUCCACUCCAAUGGCAAAUUUCAACGGCUGGAUAACGGACGAGGAAGGCACAUUCGUAUUCAUAAGAGUUUAUUUUUUUAAUAAAGAGUUUUAAAUUUUAUAUUCCAAUCGAUUGCGCAAUUUUUGUAUUUUGCAGCUAUUCAAUGAAACUUGUGUGACAACUUUCUUCUGUACCUGUGAUCGAUCUCGAGUUUCUUUAUCGACCGAUAGUUGUAAUGAGCAUUCCCGUGUUCCUGACGAUAUUCUUUACCGACUGUGGAUCUGAACUAUUAAUUGCGCGGGAAACCCAAGGGGAAAGCUGUAAUGGCUGCCAUCGGUAAACACGGCGCGAGGACAAUAAGCGGACUGCAAUCACGGUUUUGCGAUCUCCUCGUCUCGGAUCAGCACUGACGGAUGCGCGUGUGUGCAUUGUCGGCCUGUGUCGGCCAUUACGAAUCCGUUCCCGCAGACGCGUCGUUGUGCUCUCGAAGGUGUAAAUUUUCGGCGGAUAUCUCAUAGCACGAGGGAAGCAGAAACUCUGCUGAAAUCGAUUGAUCGGGGAUCCGGAUCUUAUUGAACAUGGACAUGGACAGAUCGAGCAACGGCGAGUACAAGUAUCAGAGAGAGGAGGAUGCCGACGAGAAACCCAGAAUGCUGGACGAGGGUGACGACAAGGACCCUCAGGUCGACAAAGCCGGCGAGUAUAUGCAGGAGCUCUUGCAGGAGAAGGUCGAGCUAGACGGUCAGAAAUGGCCCAACGCUGUACGAUUACUGGAUCAGGAAAUUCAAAAAACGGAGACUAUGCGCAGACCAAUGAGAGAGUCAAAAUAUGUGGACAUUUAUCGUGAAAAACCAGUUCGUGUUUCUGUCAAAGUUCUGGUACCUGUUCGUGAACAUCCCAAGUUUAAUUUUGUAGGAAAAUUGUUGGGGCCGAAAGGCAAUUCUAUGAAGCGCUUGCAAGAAGAAACAAUGUGCAAGAUGGCAGUAUUAGGUAGAGGAUCGAUGAAAGAUAAGCAAAAAGAAGAAGAACUUCGUGCUUCCUUGAAUUUGAAAUAUGCACAUCUUGCCGAUGAUCUACACGUAGAGAUUACAGCUCUUGCCCCACCAGCGGAAGCUUAUGCACGUAUUGCUUUCGCUCUCGCCGAAGUGCGGAAAUACUUGAUUCCUGACAACAAUGAUAAUAUACGUCAAGAACAAAUGCGCGAAAUGGAGAUGAGCGGAUCCGAUGAAAAUGUUUCGAAUGAUCGGAGAGGACCUUCGAUGAGAGGACCUUCGAAUCUUGGUAAUGUACCAAGACCCGUUGGGAGGCAGACAUUACCUAGAAUGGGAUCUAGAGGUGUUCUUCCUCCACCUGUAAAUCGUGGGCCACCCACUAGACCAGCACCAAACAAAUCGAAGGUAUUCUCGAUCUUAGAUCGUGCAAGAGCUGCUAUGGAUCAAAGUUACAACUUUGAUACUCAGACUCCUCCACCAACAAACCGUGCUGCAUCGCAUCAUGAUUAUGAUUAUCACGGAUCAUCUGGUAGUAACGCUCGAUAUGGUGAUCGUCAUUAUACAUCGAAUUCUGGAUACACGACUUAUGAGUACGAUGAUGAUUCUGCGCCACAUUCAUCACGUGAUUAUUACGAAUCUUCAGAUUAUCCAGAGGAAUCGUCGAGCCGCGCUUGGAAAUCUUACAAGACCACAACGACGUCAGGCGCAGCCUCGCGCUACCGCACCACCCCAUAUACACGACCUUCCAAGUGGGUAAAAGAUGAAGGUCCUUUCAUAUCAUGAAGAUCGUGUGGGAAUCACGUUAAUCAUGAUGGACUUCGAAAUGCUACGAAUACUUAAAUAUAUGACAAUCUCAUCAGAAGGACUUCAUCAUACUUGGCAAUUCCUCGGACUUAACGUCGUCCUGACUAUCACGCGAAUGUGUGCCUGUGAAAGGCAGAAUCCUUGCUUGUGGCUUAUCGCACGACAUCCUAUGUUAAUAUCAGUAG
RNAcentral lists this unclassified non-coding RNA (2152 nucleotides) under Monomorium pharaonis (pharaoh ant). RNAcentral describes it as "kH domain-containing, RNA-binding, signal transduction-associated protein 2, transcript variant X1". Lineage: Eukaryota; Metazoa; Arthropoda; Insecta; Hymenoptera; Formicidae. The record is from RNAcentral.